GGAUGCGAUCAUACCAGCACUAAAGCACCAGAUCCCAUCAGAACUCCGAAGUUAAGCGUGCUUGGGCGAGAGUAGUACUAGGAUGGGUGACCUCCUGUGAAGUCCUCGUGUUGCAUUCC
RNAcentral lists this ribosomal RNA (119 nucleotides) under Triticum aestivum (bread wheat). Lineage: Eukaryota; Viridiplantae; Streptophyta; Magnoliopsida; Poales; Poaceae. The record is from RNAcentral.